CCUACGGGAGGCAGCAGUGGGGGAUAUUGCGCAAUGGGGGAAACCCUGACGCAGCAACGCCGCGUGAAGGAAGACGGUUUUCGGAUUGUAAACUUCUUUUGUCAGGGACGAAUAGAUGACGGUACUUGACGAAUAAGACCCGGCUAACUACGUGCCAGCAGCCGCGGUAAU
Molecule: ribosomal RNA, 171 nt
Filed under: uncultured bacterium
Lineage: Bacteria
Description: partial 16S rRNA
Rfam family: Bacterial small subunit ribosomal RNA
Source: RNAcentral